AAGACUAUACUUUCAGGGAUCAUUUCUAUAGUUUGUUAAAAGUUUCUUAAAUUUCAAAAACUUCAAGUUCAGAAGU
This 76-nucleotide small nucleolar RNA is filed under the name Catagonus wagneri (Chacoan peccary). RNAcentral describes it as "Small nucleolar RNA U3 (ENSCWAG00000003071.1)". It matches the Rfam family "Small nucleolar RNA U3", at positions 1 to 88 of the family's 219-position model. From Rfam's summary of the family: Small nucleolar RNAs (snoRNAs) are involved in the processing and modification of rRNA in the nucleolus. There are two main classes of snoRNAs: the box C/D class, and the box H/ACA class. U3 snoRNA is a member of the box C/D class. The record is from Rfam by way of RNAcentral. Lineage: Eukaryota; Metazoa; Chordata; Mammalia; Artiodactyla; Tayassuidae.